RNAcentral lists this ribosomal RNA (536 nucleotides) under Phyciodes pallida (pallid crescentspot). RNAcentral's name for it is "partial 16S ribosomal RNA". The stretch from base 399 to 536 matches the Rfam family "Archaeal large subunit ribosomal RNA", at positions 2542 to 2680 of the family's 2987-position model. Lineage: Eukaryota; Metazoa; Arthropoda; Insecta; Lepidoptera; Nymphalidae. The record is from RNAcentral.
UCAAAAACAUGUCUUUUUGAUAAUAAUUUAAAGUCUAAUCUGCCCACUGAUAUAAAUAUUAAAGGGCUGCAGUAUAUUGACUGUACAAAGGUAGCAUAAUCAUUAGUCUUUUAAUUGAAGACUUGUAUGAAAGAUUUGAUGAGAUAUAAUCUGUCUCUAUUUUAUAAAAUAGAAAUUAAUUUUUUAGUUAGAAAGCUAAAAUAAUAUUAAAAGACGAGAAGACCCUAUAAAGUUUUAUAAUUUAUUUAUUUUUUAUUAAUUAUAAAAAUAAAUAUAAUAAUUAAGUAAAUUAUUUUAUUGGGGUGAUAGAAAAAUUAAAUAAACUUUUUUUAAAAUAAAACAUAAAUAAGUGAAAUAUUGAUCCAUUAAUAAUGAUUAAAAGAAAAAAUUACUUUAGGGAUAACAGCGUAAUAUUUUUUUUUAGUCUAAAUAAGAAAAAAAGUUUGCGAUCUCGAUGUUGGAUUAAGAUAAAAUUUAAAUGCAAAAGUUUAAAAUUUUGAUCUGUUCGAUCAUUAAAAUCUUACAUGAUCUGAGCU